CAUAGCCGCGGUAAUACAGAGGGUGCAAGCGUUAAUCGGAAUUACUGGGCGUAAAGCGCGCGUAGGUGGUUUGUUAAGUUGGAUGUGAAAUCCCCGGGCUCAACCUGGGAACUGCAUCCAAAACUGGCAAGCUAGAGUAUGGUAGAGGGUGGUGGAAUUUCCUGUGUAGCGGUGAAAUGCGUAGAUAUAGGAAGGAACACCAGUGGCGAAGGCGACCACCUGGACUGAUACUGACACUGAGGUGCGAAAGCGUGGGGAGCAAACAGGAUUAGAUACCCCGGUAGUCCCUGUCUCUUAUACA
RNAcentral lists this ribosomal RNA (301 nucleotides) under uncultured bacterium. RNAcentral's name for it is "partial 16S ribosomal RNA". It matches the Rfam family "Bacterial small subunit ribosomal RNA", at positions 512 to 808 of the family's 1533-position model. The record is from RNAcentral.